GUCUCGUGGGGUUAUCAGUGUCUCUCUUUCUACCCGAAUUUUGUGUAAGUUACAGUUUUGUUCGUGGAGAAUUGAUGGCAGAAGGUGCGCGAUGAUGGAGUGUUGAACUUGAGGAGUGGAAAAUGAAAAUAUUG
Molecule: non-coding RNA, 134 nt
Organism: Caenorhabditis elegans
Lineage: Eukaryota; Metazoa; Nematoda; Chromadorea; Rhabditida; Rhabditidae
Source: Ensembl